RNAcentral lists this ribosomal RNA (433 nucleotides) under uncultured bacterium. RNAcentral describes it as "partial 16S ribosomal RNA". It matches the Rfam family "Bacterial small subunit ribosomal RNA", at positions 29 to 507 of the family's 1533-position model. The record is from RNAcentral.
AGCGAACGCUGGCGGCAGGCCUAACACAUGCAAGUCGAACGAACUCUUCGGAGUUAGUGGCGGACGGGUGAGUAACACGUGGGAACGUGCCUUUAGGUUCGGAAUAACUCAGGGAAACAUGUGCUAAUACCGAAUGUGCCCUUCGGGGGAAAGAUUUAUCGCCUUUAGAGCGGCGCUGGUCUGAUUCGCGAGUUGGUGAGGGAAAGGCUAACCAAGGCGACGAUCGGUGGCUGGUCGGUGAGGAGGCUCAGUAACAUUUGGGCUGAGACACGGCCCCAACUCGUACGGGGGGCAGGAGUGGGGAGUCCAACGGGAUGAACCCAGGUCUGACGCAGCCGCGUCGCGGAAAUGAGGAUGGUCUUAGUAUUGUAAAUUUCUUUGUCCCGGGGCGAUAGUGACGGUACCCGGUAAAGAAGCCCCGGCUAACUACGUG